RNAcentral lists this ribosomal RNA (481 nucleotides) under uncultured bacterium. RNAcentral describes it as "bacterial SSU rRNA". It matches the Rfam family "Bacterial small subunit ribosomal RNA", at positions 338 to 822 of the family's 1533-position model. The record is from RNAcentral.
CCUACGGGAGGCAGCAGUAGGGAAUAUUGGACAAUGGAGGAAACUCUGAUCCAGCCAUGCCGCGUGAUAGAUGAAGGCCCUCUGGGUUGUAAAUAUCUUUUAUCUGGGAAGAAACAAUCUUAUUCUUAAGAUCUUGACGGUACCAGAGGAAUAAGCACCGGCUAACUCCGUGCCAGCAGCCGCGGUAAUACGGAGGGUGCAAGCGUUAUCCGGAUUCACUGGGUUUAAAGGGUGCGUAGGCGGGCUGAUAAGUCAGUGGUGAAAGCUCCGAGCUUAACUUGGAAACUGCCAUUGAUACUGCCAGUCUUGAAUGUCGUAGAGGUAAGCGGAAUGUUGCAUGUAGCGGUGAAAUGCUUAGAUAUGUUACAGAACACCAAUUGCGAAGGCAGCUUACUAUGCGAUGAUUGACGCUGAGCACGAAGAGUGGAGACAACAGAUAGAUACCUACGUAGUACACGACCCUAACCGAUAGUAUUACUCG